This 1260-nucleotide ribosomal RNA is filed under the name Desmodus rotundus (common vampire bat). RNAcentral's name for it is "eukaryotic LSU rRNA". The stretch from base 1 to 1080 matches the Rfam family "Eukaryotic large subunit ribosomal RNA", at positions 2255 to 3401 of the family's 3401-position model. Lineage: Eukaryota; Metazoa; Chordata; Mammalia; Chiroptera; Phyllostomidae. The record is from RNAcentral.
UAUUGUUUACCUUUACUUUGGCCGACAAUGUUGUUUCUCUCCCCUAUCUAUUCUGGUGACCUUCAAGAGGUUUUCUGCUUAGCAAUGCCUAUAAUUGCCUAGCUCUCUUGCCUAGCUCUCAACACUCAUCAUCUAAUUAGUGAUGCGCAUGGAUGGAUGAACGAGAUUCCCACUGUCUCUACCUACUAUCCAGCGAAACCACAGCCAAGGGAAUGGGCUUGGUGGAAUCAGCGGAGAAAGAAGACCCUGUUGAGCUCGACUCUAGUCUGGCCCGGUGAAGAGACGUGAGAGGUGUAGAAUAGGUGGGAGGUGCCCCGGCACCCGCCCGUCCCCGAGAGGGGGCGCGGUGGGGCACGCCGGCCUCGUGGGCUGCCAGUGAAAUACCGCUACACUGAUCGGUUUUCACUGACCUGGUGAGGCAGGGGGUGCCGAGCACUGAGGGGCUCUUGCUUCUGGCGCCAAGCGCCCAGCCGGCAUGCAAAAACCCGCGCCAGGCGCGACCUGCUCCGGGGACAGUGCCAGGUGGGGAGUUUGACUGGGGCGGUACACCUGUCAAACGGUAACGUAGGUGUCCUAAGGCGAGCUCAGGGAGGACAGAAACCUCCCGUGGAGCAGAAGGGCAAAAGCUCGCUUGAUCUUGAUUUUCAGUACGAAUACAGACCGUGAAAGCGGGGCCUACUCACGAUCCUUCUGACCUUUGGGAUUUCAAGCAGGAGGUGUCAGAAAAGUUACCACAAGGAUAACUGGCUUGUGGUGGCCAAGCGUUCAUAGCGAUGUUGCUUUUUUGAUCCUUUGAUGUCGGCUCUUCCUAUCAUUGUGAAGCAGAAUUCAAGUGUUGGAUUGUUCACCCACUAAUAGGGGAACGUGAGGUGGGUUUAGAGGGUCGUAAAGGACAGGUUAGUUUUUGCCCUACUGAUGUGUUGCCAUGGUAAUCCUGCUCAGUGUGAGAGGAACUGCAGAUUUCAGACAUUUGGUGUGUUAUGUGCUUGGCUGAAGAGCCAAUGGUGUGAAGCUACCAUCUGUGGGAUUAUGACUGAGCGCCUCUAAGUCAGAAUCCCGUCCCGGUGGGAAUGAUACGGCAGCGCCGCAGAGCCUCAGAUGGCCGGUCCCCUGCUGGGGUCCGUCGCGCGCAUGCCCCAAUAUAUUUACAAUGUUUAUGUCUUCUUCAUGGAUUCUUUCCUUGAAUAUUAUGCAGUGACCUUCUGGGUCUCUCUUUAUGGCCUUCUUUUUGAAGCUUAUUUUGUCUGAUAUGUGUAUAGC